GACGAACGCUGGCGGCGUGCUUAACACAUGCAAGUCGAACGAUGAAGCUGGAGCUUGCUCUGGCGGAUUAGUGGCGAACGGGUGAGUAACACGUGAGAAAUCUGCCCUUGACUCUGGGAUAACUGCGGGAAACUGUAGCUAAUACCGGAUACUUUCCCUGGUGGGCAUCCACUGGGGAAGAAAGAAUUUCGGUCAAGGAUGAUCUCGCGGCCUAUCAGCUCGUUGGUGAGGUAAUGGCUCACCAAGGCGACGACGGGUAGCCGGCCUGAGAGGGUGACCGGCCACACUGGGACGGAGACACGGCCCAGACUCCUACGGGAGGCAGCAGUGGGGAAUAUUGCACAAUGGGCGCAAGCCUGAUGCAGCAACGCCGCGUGAGGGAUGAAGGCCUUCGGGUUGUAAACCUCUUUUAGCAGGGAAGAAGCGAAAGUGACGGUACCUGCAGAAAAAGCACCGGCUAACUACGUGCCAGCCGCCGCGGUAA
RNAcentral lists this ribosomal RNA (484 nucleotides) under uncultured bacterium. RNAcentral's name for it is "partial 16S ribosomal RNA". It matches the Rfam family "Bacterial small subunit ribosomal RNA", at positions 28 to 523 of the family's 1533-position model. The record is from RNAcentral.